AGGUCACCUGGAUAAAAAUUUGGGUUGAUCGGCAAGCGCCGGCCGGGCCUACAGAGCGGGUGACAAAGCCCCAUACGCUCGAGGACCGGACGCGGUGCCGCCGCUGCCUUUCGGGCCCGUCCCCCGGGAUCGGAGGACGGGGCCCAACACACAAGCCGUGCUUGAGGGCAGCAAUGACGCUCGGACAGGCAUGCCCCCCGGAAUACCAGGGGGCGCAAUGUGCGUUCAAAGACUCGAUGAUUCACUGAAUUUGCAAUUCACAUUACGUAUCGCAUUUCGCUGCGUUCUUCAUCGAUGCCGGAACCAAGAGAUCCGUUGUUGAAAGUUUUAAAUAAUUUAUAUUUUCACUCAGACUACAAUCUUCAGACAGAGUUCGAGGGUGUCUUCGGCGGGCGCGGGCCCGGGGGCGUAAGCCCCCCGGCGGCCAGUUAAGGCGGGCCCGCCGAAGCAACAAGGUAAAAUAAACACGGGUGGGAGGUUGGACCCAGAGGGCCCUCACUCGGUAAUGAUCCUUCCGCAGGUUCACCAACGGAAGG
Molecule: unclassified non-coding RNA, 536 nt
Filed under: Penicillium chrysogenum
Lineage: Eukaryota; Fungi; Ascomycota; Eurotiomycetes; Eurotiales; Aspergillaceae
Description: sequence contains 18S rRNA gene, ITS1, 5.8S rRNA gene, ITS2, 28S rRNA gene
Source: RNAcentral